RNA transcript from Pyrus x bretschneideri (Chinese white pear), 3443 nucleotides. It is a transcript of the gene named pentatricopeptide repeat-containing protein At3g06920, with no coding region annotated. The transcript has 4 exons. The record is from RefSeq and is a predicted model, not a curated record. NCBI's taxonomy places the organism in Eukaryota, Viridiplantae, Streptophyta, Magnoliopsida, Rosales, Rosaceae.
CGACUGUCAAUCCAAAUAGAUAACAGAACAAUACGCCGCCGUAUAUGUUCCUGUACCGAAACGCCGUGUUUUAGCACUAUUUUCGUGCCAUCGUCUUUUGCUCUUCUGAUUUCCGUAGCAGAUUUUGGGUUUAAACCUUAAACCCUAAACCUCCAUUGCCCUGCGCUUCAAGAUUGGCCGAUAUUUGGAAGGCAAAGAGCAUACACGGUGAUAGAUUGGGCAUGCAUUUGUGAAGAUGCUCCUAAGACAACAAGUUGCAGGGAUACGACAUGGCUUUCAUUUGAACAUUUACACAUUUUCGAAAAGGUUUUCAUCCUUGUCAAAUGAGCCUCCGUCUGAAGAGAAAGUUGUGUCUUCGAUUGAUGUGAGACAAGUAGUUGAUGAUGUGUGCCGAGUCUUGGAGCGUGGUCCUUGGGGACCCCCCCUUGAGAAUGCUCUAUCGGCGCUUGACAAAACGCCUCAAUCAGAAUCAGUUAUUGGAGUUUUAAGGAGGUUGAAAGAUGUCAGUUUAGCACUUAAUUAUUUUCGGUGGUGUGAGAAACAAACUGACCAAGCACACUGUCCCGAAGCAUACAAUUCACUUCUCAUGGUCAUGGCCAGGAGUAGAAAUCUUAAUUAUUUGGAACAGGUCCUGGAAGAAAUGAGUGUAGCAGGAAUUGGCCCAUUUAAUACCACAUGUAUUGAGUUAGUUGUGAGCUGUAUCAGGUCACAGAAGCUGAAAGAUGGUUUCAAUCUACUGCAAACAAUGAGGAAGUUCAAAUUCCGCCCAGCAUUUUCAGCCUAUACAACUCUUAUCGGGGCUUUGUCUACAGUUCCUGAAUCUGAUCUCAUGCUGACUCUCUUUCAUCAAAUGCAGGAGCUAGGUUAUGAAGUUACUGUGCAUUUAUUUACAACUAUUAUUCGUGUAUUUGCCAAGGAAGGACGAGUUGAUGCUGCCCUCUCCUUGUUGGAUGAGAUGAAGAGCAACUCUUUUAGUGCAGAUGUUGUGCUUUAUAAUGUCUGUAUAGAUUGCUUUGGCAAGGUCGGUAAGGUGGAUAUGGCCUGGAAAUUCUUUCAUGAAAUGAGAAUGCAUGGCUUGGUGCCUGAUGAUGUGACGUAUACUAGCAUGAUAGGAGUUCUCUGCCAAGCUGCGAGACUAGACGAAGCGGUGGAGCUAUUUGAGGAGAUGGACAGACAUAGGAAAGUGCCUUGUGUGUAUGCGUAUAACACCAUGAUCAUGGGCUAUGGCUCUGCUGGAAGGUUUGAGGAAGCAUACAGCUUGUUUGAGAGGCAAAGAAGAAAGGGGUGCAUUCCGAGUGUGAUUGCAUAUAAUUGUGUUCUCACCUGCCUAGGGAAGAAGAGACGAGCAGUAGAAGCGUUAAGGGUUUUUGAUGAGAUGAAGAAAGAUGCAGCUCCCAAUCUUCCAACUUAUAACAUUCUAAUAGACAUGCUUUGUAAGGCUGGUAACCUCAAGGAUGCUCUGCAGGUUCGGGAUGCCAUGAAAGAAGCUGGCUUAUAUCCUAAUGUUAUGACUGUAAACAUAAUGAUUGAUCGACUCUGUAAAGCUCAAAAACUUGAUGAUGCUAGUUCUAUAUUUGAAGGAAUGGAUCACAAAGUCUGCACACCAGAUGCAGUUACAUUUUGUUCUCUUAUAGAUGGCUUGGGAAAACAAGGAAGAGUAGAUGAUGCCUAUAGGCUUUAUGAAAAGAUGCUGGACGCUGAUCAGACUCCAAAUGCCAUUGUAUACACAUCCCUCAUCAGGAACUUCUUCAAAUGUGGCAGGAAGGAGGAUGGUCACAAAAUAUACAAAGAAAUGCAGCGUAGGGGCUGUUCUCCUGAUCUCAUGCUUCUUAAUACCUAUAUGGAUUGUGUUUUAAAGGCCGGAGAAAUUGAAAAGGGUAGAUCUUUGUUUGGGGAGAUUAAGACUCAAGGAUUCAUUCCUGAUGUGCGAAGUUAUUCAAUCUUAAUUCAUGGCCUUGUAAAAGGAGGUUUUGCACAUCAAACAUAUGAAUUAUACUAUGCAAUGAAGGAUCAAGGCUGUGUAUUGGACACCCGUGCUUACAACGCCAUCAUUGAUGGAUUCUGCAAAAGUGGAAAGGUGAAUAAAGCAUACCAGCUUCUGGAGGAAAUGAAAACUAAGGGUCACCAACCCACCGUCGUUACUUAUGGUUCUGUCAUUGAUGGUCUUGCCAAGAUUGACAGGCUUGAUGAAGCAUACAUGCUUUUUGAAGAAGCAAAGUCAAAAGGAGUAGAACUGAAUGUAAUCAUUUAUAGUAGUCUUGUUGAUGGGUUUGGGAAGGUAGGUAGAAUAGAUGAAGCAUAUCUAGUCAUGGAAGAGUUGAUGCAGAAAGGUUUGUCACCUAACGUUUACACAUAUAAUUGCUUGCUUGAUGGACUUGUGAAAGCUGGUGAAAUUGAUGAAGCAAUUGUCUGCUUUCAAUCGAUGAAAGAUAUGAAAUGUACACCCAACCAUGUAACGUAUAGCAUUCUCAUAAAUGGUCUUUGUAGGGUUAGAAAAUUCAAUAAGGCUUUUGUAUACUGGCAAGAGAUGAAGAAACAAGGGUUAAACCCUAAUACAAUCACCUACACUACCAUGAUCUCUGGACUUGCAAGGGCUGGGAACAUAAGGGAUGCUAGUGGGCUUUUUGAGAAGUUUAAGGCCAGUGGUGGCAUUCCCGAUUCUGCUUGUUAUAAUGCUAUGAUAGAAGGGUUGAGCAAUGCAGAAAGGGCAAUGGACGCAUAUACACUUUUUGAGGAAACUCGGCGGAAAGGUUGUAAUAUUCAUUCCAAGACAUGUGUUGUUCUGUUGGAUGCCUUGCACAAGGCUGAAUGCCUUGAGCAGGCAGGAAUUGUUGGUGCUGUUCUUCGAGAAACUGCAAAGUCUCAACAUGCGUCAAGAUCAUGGUAAAGUCGUGUGUCAUGCAAUUUACUGGAGGGAUUUAGAUGUGUCGUACUCAGUGAGUGGUGACACACAACUGACACAAGGUGCCUUCUCGUUCAUUCACGUUGACAGAGAAAAUAUUGGGAAACGAGAGAUUUUUUUCCUGAAAGGUCUUCGUCUCAUCAAUUUCUUAACAAGAUUGAAGGCACUCUGUGGAGGUAUAGAGUAUCAAAUAUGCAGGAUGUCGAAGAAACCGAGUUAUAAUUGUAGCAUUAACUUCAGUAGCAGUUAUUCAGGAGCAUGAGUUUAGCUUCGAGAACCAUCGAUGCUUUAAUAUAGUGUUUUGCCAAUUGUUCAGGUUACCUGGUUCAGUUGAGAAUUGCAGAUGUGUGUUGGGAGUUGAUGACCCUCACUGGUGGACGCCCGCCUCCCCAGCCAUGAGAGGACCUUUAUCGUUUGUUACAGUAGAUGAAAUCAAACUUUUGACCUAGAGAGCAAAUUUUUGUGCUGUAUGGCGAAUUGCCUGUGUUGAAUAUGGUUGUUGGGCGCGCAUACUGGUGAAUAACCACACAUUUUCCCUUCA